Molecule: transfer RNA, 77 nt
Filed under: Duganella sp.
Lineage: Bacteria; Pseudomonadati; Pseudomonadota; Betaproteobacteria; Burkholderiales; Oxalobacteraceae
Also listed under: 6 other names
Description: tRNA-Arg
Rfam family: tRNA
About the family: Transfer RNA (tRNA) molecules are approximately 80 nucleotides in length. Their secondary structure includes four short double-helical elements and three loops (D, anti-codon, and T loops). Further hydrogen bonds mediate the characteristic L-shaped molecular structure. tRNAs have two regions of fundamental functional importance: the anti-codon, which is responsible for specific mRNA codon recognition, and the 3' end, to which the tRNAs corresponding amino acid is attached (by aminoacyl-tRNA synthetases). tRNAs cope with the degeneracy of the genetic code in two manners: having more than one tRNA (with a specific anti-codon) for a particular amino acid; and 'wobble' base-pairing, i.e. permitting non-standard base-pairing at the 3rd anti-codon position.
Source: RNAcentral
CUGCCCAUAGCUCAGUUGGAUAGAGCACAAGCCUUCUAAGCUUGGGGUCGCUGGUUCGAACCCAGCUGGGCAGGCCA